Molecule: long non-coding RNA, 729 nt
Organism: Oxyura jamaicensis (ruddy duck)
Lineage: Eukaryota; Metazoa; Chordata; Aves; Anseriformes; Anatidae
Exons: 3
Source: RefSeq, a predicted model, not a curated record
AGGUUCCUUGUUUCAGCCGGUGCCAUUUCAGAGCAGCCAGGUGCCCGUUGUGCUUCUGAUCUGAGGGCUCAUUGCAAGGCAGCUGCAGAGGCCUGGAAGGUUUUCCCUUCAGGCCUGACCCUGUUAGCACUGGGAAGGGCAGGAGAGCACACACAGAGCCAGGAGCUGACCUGGAGAGGAAGAAGGAGGCAGCAAAAUGCGACUCAGAGGUGUCCAAAAACCCUUUCCAUGCUGUGAGGAGGGUUGCCACCUGGAAAUCGAAGGAGGAAGCGCUCUGUACCUGGAAGAGCUUCAUGUGCUCAGGUGGAGCUGUUUCCAUCUGGAUAAAAUUAUUCUGUGGCUGGCACCUUGCACUCCAAGCUAAGCAGGGAAUCCAUCUAAUACAUAGAGGGAACACUGUGGCUGAUCUCUUGUCUCUCACUCAAAAGGAGACCCCUUGAGCCUGGCCGAACCCUGCACUAUUGAUAUAUGAGCAGGACGUGCAUCUGCUGGAUUUAUUCAUCAAGCAACUACAAGAGGUGCUUUCUAGGGAUUAAUGUUCUGGUGGGUGUGUGCAGAGGUUGCAGGGAGAAGGAAUUGUGGCAGUAGCUGGUUUACUGAAAAGACAGAAAAAUGUAUGUGACAGAAAUAGGGCCCUUAGCAAUGCAGAUAGCUAUAGAUCAAUGGAUGGGUUGCUUUCAGCGCCUCUGUUUGCUUUCUGCAACACCUAUUUGUAGAAAAAUAAAACAG